GACGAACGCUGGCGGCGUGCUUAACACAUGCAAGUCGAACGGAAAGGCCCUGCUGUUGUGGGGUGCUCGAGUGGCGAACGGGUGAGUAACACGUGAGUAACCGGCCCUUGACUUUGGGAUAACUUCAGGAAACUGGGGCUAAUACCGGAUAGGAGCUCCUGCUGCAUGGUGGGGGUUGGAACGUUUCGGCGGUUGGGCAUGGACUCGCGGCUUAUCAGCUUGUUGGUGGGGUAGUGGCGUACCAAGGCUUUGACGGGUAGCCGGCCUGAAAGGGUGACCGGCCCCAUUGGGACUGAGAUACCGCCCCGACUCCUACGGGAGGCAGCAGUGGGGAAUAUUGCACAAUGGGCGGAAGCCUGAUGCAGCAACGCCGCGUGCGGGAUGACGGCCUUCGGGUUGUAAACCGCUUUCGCCUGUGACGAAGCGUGAGUGACGGUAAUGGGUAAAGAAGCACCGGCUAACUACGUG
Molecule: ribosomal RNA, 468 nt
Filed under: uncultured bacterium
Lineage: Bacteria
Description: partial 16S ribosomal RNA
Rfam family: Bacterial small subunit ribosomal RNA
Source: RNAcentral